RNAcentral lists this ribosomal RNA (238 nucleotides) under uncultured bacterium. RNAcentral's name for it is "partial 16S ribosomal RNA". It matches the Rfam family "Bacterial small subunit ribosomal RNA", at positions 96 to 334 of the family's 1533-position model. The record is from RNAcentral.
UGGCGGACGGGUGAGUAACGCGUGGGUAACCUGCCUCAUACAGGGGGAUAACAGUUAGAAAUGGCUGCUAAUACCGCAUAAGACCACAGCACCGCAUGGUGCAGGGGUAAAAACUCCGGUGGUAUGAGAUGGACCCGCGUCUGAUUAGCUGGUUGGUGGGGUAACGGCCUACCAAGGCGACGAUCAGUAGCCGACCUGAGAGGGUGACCGGCCACAUUGGGACUGAGACACGGCCCAA